UACGGAGGGUGCAAGCGUUAUCCGGAUUCAUUGGGUUUAAAGGGUGCGUAGGCGGGUAAGUAAGUCCGUGGUGAAAUCUCUGAGCUUAACUCAGAAACUGCCGUGGAUACUAUUUGCCUUGAAUAUUGUGGAGGUGAGCGGAAUAUGUCAUGUAGCGGUGAAAUGCUUAGAUAUGACAUAGAACACCAAUUGCGAAGGCAGCUCACUACACAAUCAUUGACGCUGAGGCACGAAAGCGUGGGGAUCAAACAGG
This 253-nucleotide ribosomal RNA is filed under the name uncultured bacterium. RNAcentral describes it as "partial 16S ribosomal RNA". It matches the Rfam family "Bacterial small subunit ribosomal RNA", at positions 524 to 776 of the family's 1533-position model. The record is from RNAcentral.